UAUGAUUGCAUCUCCUUUAUUUUUGGAAUGUCUUUAUUGUCCCCCACCCUCUCUUCAAACUGGCUUUGAGUCUAGACAAUAUAUCCAUUUAGUAUGUGAGAAAUAAAAAUUGCCAUCUAGGAGAGGCUUGGUAAAGAUGUUGGGAAUUGUUGAGAAAAAGAGAAAGAAUUGCAUGAUUAGCAUCCCAAAAGCAACCCUAUUAGACAAAAUGAUAUUUUGUGUAUGUUUGGUGAGAGCAUGAGAAACAAGAUCAGUUGUAAUAUAAAGAGCAUUGGCAUUGUCAUAAAAGUAUAUCCUUUUUUUAGUAGGUGCAGCUCCAAUCUCAUAUAGAA
Molecule: long non-coding RNA, 332 nt
Filed under: Elaeis guineensis (African oil palm)
Lineage: Eukaryota; Viridiplantae; Streptophyta; Magnoliopsida; Arecales; Arecaceae
Description: long non-coding RNA (EGUI_LNC062373)
Source: RNAcentral